GGUGGCUCAGUGGUAGAGUGCUUGCCUUGCAUGCAUGAGGCCCUGGGUUGGAUUACUCAGCACCA
RNAcentral lists this transfer RNA (65 nucleotides) under Dipodomys ordii (Ord's kangaroo rat). It matches the Rfam family "tRNA". Rfam says of the family: Transfer RNA (tRNA) molecules are approximately 80 nucleotides in length. Their secondary structure includes four short double-helical elements and three loops (D, anti-codon, and T loops). Further hydrogen bonds mediate the characteristic L-shaped molecular structure. tRNAs have two regions of fundamental functional importance: the anti-codon, which is responsible for specific mRNA codon recognition, and the 3' end, to which the tRNAs corresponding amino acid is attached (by aminoacyl-tRNA synthetases). tRNAs cope with the degeneracy of the genetic code in two manners: having more than one tRNA (with a specific anti-codon) for a particular amino acid; and 'wobble' base-pairing, i.e. permitting non-standard base-pairing at the 3rd anti-codon position. Lineage: Eukaryota; Metazoa; Chordata; Mammalia; Rodentia; Heteromyidae. The record is from Rfam by way of RNAcentral.